This is a small nucleolar RNA of Macadamia integrifolia, 95 nucleotides long. RefSeq annotates it as small nucleolar RNA R64/Z200 family. The transcript has a single exon. The record is from RefSeq and is a predicted model, not a curated record. Lineage: Eukaryota; Viridiplantae; Streptophyta; Magnoliopsida; Proteales; Proteaceae.
CUCUUGCGGUGAUGAAUUAUGAAUUCUUCACAUGUCAGACUUCAGAGAUUUUUCAAAAAAAUCUAUGAGAAGAAAAUUCAUUUUUCUGAGCAGAG